GAUGAACGCUAGCGGGAGGCCUAACACAUGCAAGCCGAGCGGGAUUUGUUGGAUAGCUUGCUUACUAACAAUGAGAGCGGCGUACGGGUGCGUAGCACGUGUGCAACCUGCCUUUAUCUCUGGCAUAGCCUUUCGAAAGGAAGAUUAAUACCCCAUAACAUAUUGAUUGGCAUCAUUUAAUAUUGAAAGCUCAGGCGUAAAGCUAUGGGCACGAGUAAGAUUAGCUAGUUGGUUAGGUAACGGCUCACCAAGACUGCCAUCGUUAGGGGGACUGAGAGGGUGAUACCCCACACUAGUACUGAGACACUGACCAGGCACCUACGGGAGGCAGCAGAGAGGUAUAGUAGACAGUAGGGGGGAGCAUGAUACAGCCAACCCGAGUGAAGGACUAAGAACCUAUGGGUGGUAAACAUCAUUUAGACAGGGAAAAACCUACUCUCGUGAGGGUAAAUGAAGGUACUGGAUGAAUAAGCACCGGCUAACUCCGUG
This 489-nucleotide ribosomal RNA is filed under the name uncultured bacterium. Its description in RNAcentral is "partial 16S ribosomal RNA". It matches the Rfam family "Bacterial small subunit ribosomal RNA", at positions 28 to 507 of the family's 1533-position model. The record is from RNAcentral.